AUGGUCGUCUUUUUAGCUCUUUUUACCAUCUGGCAAAGCAGUAAGAUUAAAGAUGUAAUGGUCGUAACUAUACUUCUCCUCGAAAAGCGAUCUAUGGGAAAAAAUACUUGUCCUCAACUCCUCAAGAAUCUGGAGGAUGUUGUGAGAGAUCUGACCUGGGAUUGUUACUCUCAUACAACCCUAUUCACAUCCAUGUUGUACUUACACUUGCGAGCUACUCACUGGCUCUGCAAUUUGAAUGAAACAGUUCUCAUUUUCAGUCAUUUUUUCUGGGUAUUCCACACGGGAAGAAAAUCACAUUAG
RNAcentral lists this ribosomal RNA (303 nucleotides) under Triticum aestivum (bread wheat). Its description in RNAcentral is "partial small subunit ribosomal RNA". Lineage: Eukaryota; Viridiplantae; Streptophyta; Magnoliopsida; Poales; Poaceae. The record is from RNAcentral.